GCGCCUGUCCCAAGUCAGGAGCCUCUGGCCUUUGUUAGUUUUGUAUUAUUUUAAUUUUAGUUUCUUGUGUACAAUUUGGAAAUUAGUAUGGCGUUCAUUAUCACUUAACUAGUAUAUAUUUGUUUAGGGGCCAGCUAAAGGACGCCUCCGGGUGCGGGAAUUUCUCGCUACAUUGAAGACCUGUUGGUGACCUUCUGCUGUUGUUUUUUUUUCUAUGGUCGGGUUGUUGUCUCUUUGGCACAUUUCCCAUUUCCAUUCUCAAUUUUAUUAU
RNAcentral lists this long non-coding RNA (271 nucleotides) under Mytilus galloprovincialis (Mediterranean mussel). Lineage: Eukaryota; Metazoa; Mollusca; Bivalvia; Mytilida; Mytilidae. The record is from RNAcentral.